GAGGGUGUAGCUUAGCGGUAGAGCACAUGCUUAGCAUGCAUGAGGUCGUAGGUUAAAACCCAAGUGUCUCCA
RNAcentral lists this transfer RNA (72 nucleotides) under Camelus bactrianus (Bactrian camel). It matches the Rfam family "tRNA". From Rfam's summary of the family: Transfer RNA (tRNA) molecules are approximately 80 nucleotides in length. Their secondary structure includes four short double-helical elements and three loops (D, anti-codon, and T loops). RNAcentral also lists the same sequence under 2 other names. The record is from Rfam by way of RNAcentral. Lineage: Eukaryota; Metazoa; Chordata; Mammalia; Artiodactyla; Camelidae.